Molecule: unclassified non-coding RNA, 140 nt
Filed under: uncultured Sordariomycetes
Lineage: Eukaryota; Fungi; Ascomycota; Sordariomycetes
Description: sequence contains ITS2
Source: RNAcentral
CAACCCUCGCGCCCAGCGCGGUGAUGGGGAUCCGCGGCACCGCGGGCCCUGAAAAACAGUGGCGGCACCGCCUGGAACGCAGCGUAGUAAAACACCUCGCUAGCGGCUUUAGGUGUUGCCCGCCGUUAACACUCCCCUAG